GAUGAACGCUAGCGAUAGGCUUAACACAUGCAAGUCGAGGGGCAGCACAAGGUAGCUUGCUCUCUGGGUGGCGACCGGCGCACGGGUGCGGAACGCGUAUGCAACUUGCCCUAUACAGGAGGAUAACCCGUCGAAAGACGGACUAAUACUGCGUAUGCUCACAACUUGGCAUCAAGUGGUGAGGAAAGAAAUUCGGUAUAGGAUAGGCAUGCGUCCCAUUAGCUUGUUGGUGAGGUAACGGCUCACCAAGGCAACGAUGGGUAGGGGAACUGAGAGGUUUAUCCCCCACACUGGUACUGAGACACGGACCAGACUCCUACGGGAGGCAGCAGUGAGGAAUAUUGGUCAAUGGGCGCGAGCCUGAACCAGCCAAGUCGCGUGAAGUAGGACUGUCUUAUGGAUUGUAAACUUCUUUUAGACGGGAAUAACAAGAGUCACGUGUGACUCCCUGCAUGUACCGUAUGAAUAAGCAUCGGCUAACUCCGUG
This 487-nucleotide ribosomal RNA is filed under the name uncultured bacterium. Its description in RNAcentral is "partial 16S ribosomal RNA". It matches the Rfam family "Bacterial small subunit ribosomal RNA", at positions 28 to 507 of the family's 1533-position model. The record is from RNAcentral.